RNAcentral lists this ribosomal RNA (2774 nucleotides) under Escherichia coli. RNAcentral's name for it is "bacterial LSU rRNA". It matches the Rfam family "Bacterial large subunit ribosomal RNA". The record is from RNAcentral. Lineage: Bacteria; Pseudomonadati; Pseudomonadota; Gammaproteobacteria; Enterobacterales; Enterobacteriaceae.
AGCGUACACGGUGGAUGCCCUGGCAGUCAGAGGCGAUGAAGGACGUGCUAAUCUGCGAUAAGCGUCGGUAAGGUGAUAUGAACCGUUAUAACCGGCGAUUUCCGAAUGGGGAAACCCAGUGUGUUUCGACACACUAUCAUUAACUGAAUCCAUAGGUUAAUGAGGCGAACCGGGGGAACUGAAACAUCUAAGUACCCCGAGGAAAAGAAAUCAACCGAGAUUCCCCCAGUAGCGGCGAGCGAACGGGGAGCAGCCCAGAGCCUGAAUCAGUGUGUGUGUUAGUGGAAGCGUCUGGAAAGGCGCGCGAUACAGGGUGACAGCCCCGUACACAAAAAUGCACAUGCUGUGAGCUCGAUGAGUAGGGCGGGACACGUGGUAUCCUGUCUGAAUAUGGGGGGACCAUCCUCCAAGGCUAAAUACUCCUGACUGACCGAUAGUGAACCAGUACCGUGAGGGAAAGGCGAAAAGAACCCCGGCGAGGGGAGUGAAAAAGAACCUGAAACCGUGUACGUACAAGCAGUGGGAGCACGCUUAGGCGUGUGACUGCGUACCUUUUGUAUAAUGGGUCAGCGACUUAUAUUCUGUAGCAAGGUUAACCGAAUAGGGGAGCCGAAGGGAAACCGAGUCUUAACUGGGCGUUAAGUUGCAGGGUAUAGACCCGAAACCCGGUGAUCUAGCCAUGGGCAGGUUGAAGGUUGGGUAACACUAACUGGAGGACCGAACCGACUAAUGUUGAAAAAUUAGCGGAUGACUUGUGGCUGGGGGUGAAAGGCCAAUCAAACCGGGAGAUAGCUGGUUCUCCCCGAAAGCUAUUUAGGUAGCGCCUCGUGAAUUCAUCUCCGGGGGUAGAGCACUGUUUCGGCAAGGGGGUCAUCCCGACUUACCAACCCGAUGCAAACUGCGAAUACCGGAGAAUGUUAUCACGGGAGACACACGGCGGGUGCUAACGUCCGUCGUGAAGAGGGAAACAACCCAGACCGCCAGCUAAGGUCCCAAAGUCAUGGUUAAGUGGGAAACGAUGUGGGAAGGCCCAGACAGCCAGGAUGUUGGCUUAGAAGCAGCCAUCAUUUAAAGAAAGCGUAAUAGCUCACUGGUCGAGUCGGCCUGCGCGGAAGAUGUAACGGGGCUAAACCAUGCACCGAAGCUGCGGCAGCGACACUAUGUGUUGUUGGGUAGGGGAGCGUUCUGUAAGCCUGUGAAGGUGUACUGUGAGGUAUGCUGGAGGUAUCAGAAGUGCGAAUGCUGACAUAAGUAACGAUAAAGCGGGUGAAAAGCCCGCUCGCCGGAAGACCAAGGGUUCCUGUCCAACGUUAAUCGGGGCAGGGUGAGUCGACCCCUAAGGCGAGGCCGAAAGGCGUAGUCGAUGGGAAACAGGUUAAUAUUCCUGUACUUGGUGUUACUGCGAAGGGGGGACGGAGAAGGCUAUGUUGGCCGGGCGACGGUUGUCCCGGUUUAAGCGUGUAGGCUGGUUUUCCAGGCAAAUCCGGAAAAUCAAGGCUGAGGCGUGAUGACGAGGCACUACGGUGCUGAAGCAACAAAUGCCCUGCUUCCAGGAAAAGCCUCUAAGCAUCAGGUAACAUCAAAUCGUACCCCAAACCGACACAGGUGGUCAGGUAGAGAAUACCAAGGCGCUUGAGAGAACUCGGGUGAAGGAACUAGGCAAAAUGGUGCCGUAACUUCGGGAGAAGGCACGCUGAUAUGUAGGUGAAGUCCCUCGCGGAUGGAGCUGAAAUCAGUCGAAGAUACCAGCUGGCUGCAACUGUUUAUUAAAAACACAGCACUGUGCAAACACGAAAGUGGACGUAUACGGUGUGACGCCUGCCCGGUGCCGGAAGGUUAAUUGAUGGGGUUAGCCGCAAGGCGAAGCUCUUGAUCGAAGCCCCGGUAAACGGCGGCCGUAACUAUAACGGUCCUAAGGUAGCGAAAUUCCUUGUCGGGUAAGUUCCGACCUGCACGAAUGGCGUAAUGAUGGCCAGGCUGUCUCCACCCGAGACUCAGUGAAAUUGAACUCGCUGUGAAGAUGCAGUGUACCCGCGGCAAGACGGAAAGACCCCGUGAACCUUUACUAUAGCUUGACACUGAACAUUGAGCCUUGAUGUGUAGGAUAGGUGGGAGGCUUUGAAGUGUGGACGCCAGUCUGCAUGGAGCCGACCUUGAAAUACCACCCUUUAAUGUUUGAUGUUCUAACGUUGACCCGUAAUCCGGGUUGCGGACAGUGUCUGGUGGGUAGUUUGACUGGGGCGGUCUCCUCCUAAAGAGUAACGGAGGAGCACGAAGGUUGGCUAAUCCUGGUCGGACAUCAGGAGGUUAGUGCAAUGGCAUAAGCCAGCUUGACUGCGAGCGUGACGGCGCGAGCAGGUGCGAAAGCAGGUCAUAGUGAUCCGGUGGUUCUGAAUGGAAGGGCCAUCGCUCAACGGAUAAAAGGUACUCCGGGGAUAACAGGCUGAUACCGCCCAAGAGUUCAUAUCGACGGCGGUGUUUGGCACCUCGAUGUCGGCUCAUCACAUCCUGGGGCUGAAGUAGGUCCCAAGGGUAUGGCUGUUCGCCAUUUAAAGUGGUACGCGAGCUGGGUUUAGAACGUCGUGAGACAGUUCGGUCCCUAUCUGCCGUGGGCGCUGGAGAACUGAGGGGGGCUGCUCCUAGUACGAGAGGACCGGAGUGGACGCAUCACUGGUGUUCGGGUUGUCAUGCCAAUGGCACUGCCCGGUAGCUAAAUGCGGAAGAGAUAAGUGCUGAAAGCAUCUAAGCACGAAACUUGCCCCGAGAUGAGUUCU